CGAGAAUUUUUCUCAAUGGGCGAAAGCCUGAAGGAGCGACGCCGCGUGGAGGAUGAAGGUCUUCGGAUUGUAAACUCCUGUCAUUGGUGAACAAAGCUUACGGUUUACUGCCGUGGAGCGUGCUAGUAGCCAAAGAGGAAGGGACGGCUAACUCUGUGCCAGCAGCCGCGGUAAUACAGAGGUCCCGAGCGUUGUUCGGAAUUAUUGGGCGUAAAGGGUGCGUAGGCGGUAGGGUAAGUUAGAUGUGAAAUGUCGGCGCUUAACGUCGAACCUGCAUUUAAGACUGCCCUGCUUGAGCGCUAGAGAGGAGUCUGGAAUUUACGGUGUAGCAGUGAAAUGCGUAGAUAUCGUAAGGAAGGCCAGUGGCGAAAGCGAGACUCUGGCUAGAUGCUGACGCUGAGGCACGAAAGCUGGGGGAGCAAACGGGA
Molecule: ribosomal RNA, 428 nt
Filed under: uncultured Chthoniobacter sp.
Lineage: Bacteria; Pseudomonadati; Verrucomicrobiota; Spartobacteria; Chthoniobacterales; Chthoniobacteraceae
Description: bacterial SSU rRNA
Rfam family: Bacterial small subunit ribosomal RNA
Source: RNAcentral